This 440-nucleotide ribosomal RNA is filed under the name uncultured bacterium. RNAcentral describes it as "partial 16S ribosomal RNA". It matches the Rfam family "Bacterial small subunit ribosomal RNA", at positions 338 to 795 of the family's 1533-position model. The record is from RNAcentral.
CCUACGGGAGGCAGCAGUGGGGGAUAUUGCACAAUGGGGGAAACCCUGAUGCAGCGACGCCGCGUGUGGGAAGACGGUCCUCUUUAUUGUAAGCCACUGUCGCCAGGGACGAAGAUGACGGUACCUGGGGAGGAAGCUCCGGCUAACUACGUGCCAGCAGCCGCGGUAAUACGUAGGGAGCGAGCGUUGUCCGGAAUUACUGGGUGAAAAGGGAGCGUAGGCGGGGAUGCAAGUUGGGUGGCAAAACUACCGGCUCAACUGGUAGUCGCACUCAAAACUGCAGCUGUUGAGUGAAGUAGAGGCAGGCGGAAUUCCUAGUGUAGCGGUGAAAUGCGUAGAUAUUAGGAGGAACACCAGUGGCGAAGGCGGCCUGCUGGGCUGUUACUGACGCUGAGGCUCGAAAGUGUGGGGAGCAAACAGGAUUAGAUACCCGGGUAGUC